Molecule: non-coding RNA, 92 nt
Organism: Mycena polygramma
Lineage: Eukaryota; Fungi; Basidiomycota; Agaricomycetes; Agaricales; Mycenaceae
Source: the annotation of a GenBank genome assembly
GACUCGGUGGCGGAUGGUCCGCGUCCACAAUAACUGGUUUGUUCUGUACAUGGUUCAUGUGGAAGGGGCCUGUUCGAUUCAGGCCCGGGUCA